AGCAUACUUUUACAGAGGUUUUAGUGUAUUUAGAAAAAAACAUAUAUUUUUUUUAAACAUGUACAUUAAUUUUAAUAGGCUAACAUUGCAAUUUCAACAUCAUAUCAUUGAACUUGCAUUAUAUAUUGAUUUCACAAAGUUAGUCCACAUAAAUUUGUUAGUGUUUAUAUUCAAACAACACACGUGACGGACCUGACUAAACCUCAUUGGUUCUUGGGAUUCAGUACGUCACAUUGGCUUCCUGAUUCAGUUGUUCGAUACACAACGUGCGUGAUCGUUGGUAAAUGUGGAUUAAAAGUUGAAACUAAAACUGUUAAAUUAUAUAUAGUGAUCAUCAGAGGACUUGGCUGAAACAACGCGAUUCACAUGGAUUACUUCGGCGAUGUUUUUUAUUGCUGUUGCGAUUAACUUUUUGAAAUGUGAGCAGUUUUUAAGUAGGUUAUCAAGUGGAUCUGACAUCGAGGGGAAAUAUACGUUUCUUGGAUUUCAUUAAAGUACAUCGGUUUUUGUUUGAAGAUGAAUGAGAGAACAUGAGGCACAGCUGCAUUCAAAUUGACCAAUCAGAGCCGAGAAUAUCUAAUAAGUCGAAGUAGAGAUGAACAGAUGAAGAUACAGCCCGUAAAAAUACUUAUUCUUGGUGAGUGCCAUGUAGCGACGGAUCAAACGGACACUCAUGUCAAGCUUGAUGAGGACACAGUCAAAGCUUUAAAAGACCUUGUGAUUAAGUCUUCAGUGUCUGAAUGGCAAGAAGAAGUGACCACCCUCCACUUAAACGUGACAUUUAAACUUCUCUGUGUUUUGGUUCAGCCAUUUGUAGGUUUA
This is a non-coding RNA of Paramisgurnus dabryanus, 822 nucleotides long. The record is from RefSeq and is a predicted model, not a curated record. Lineage: Eukaryota; Metazoa; Chordata; Actinopteri; Cypriniformes; Cobitidae.